UACGUAGGGGGCAAGCGUUGUCCGGAUUUAUUGGGCGUAAAGAGCGUGUAGGCGGCCUGACAGGUCUGCUGUGAAAACUCGAGGCUCAACCUCGAGAUGUCGGCGGAAACCGUCUGGCUAGAGUCCGGAAGAGGAGAGUGGAAUUCCUGGUGUAGCGGUGAAAUGCGCAGAUAUCAGGAAGAACACCCGUGGCGAAAGCGGCUCUCUGGGACGGUACUGACGCUGAGACGCGAAAGCGUGGGGAGCGAACAGG
This 253-nucleotide ribosomal RNA is filed under the name uncultured bacterium. RNAcentral describes it as "partial 16S ribosomal RNA". It matches the Rfam family "Bacterial small subunit ribosomal RNA", at positions 524 to 776 of the family's 1533-position model. The record is from RNAcentral.